AUUGAACGCUGGCGGCAGGCUUAACACAUGCAAGUCGAGCGGGGGAAGGUAGCUUGCUACCGGACCUAGCGGCGGACGGGUGAGUAAUGCUUAGGAAUCUGCCUAUUAGUGGGGGACAACAUCUCGAAAGGGAUGCUAAUACCGCAUACGUCCUACGGGAGAAAGCAGGGGAUCUUCGGACCUUGCGCUAAUAGAUGAGCCUAAGUCGGAUUAGCUAGUUGGUGGGGUAAAGGCCUACCAAGGCGACGAUCUGUAGCGGGUCUGAGAGGAUGAACCGCCACACUGGGACUGAGACACGGCCCAGACUCCUACGGGAGGUAGCAGUGGGGAAUAUUGGACAAUGGGGGGAACCCUGAUCCAGCCAUGCCGCGUGUGUGAAGAAGGCCUUAUGGUUGUAAAGCACUUUAAGCGAGGAGGAGGCUACUCUAGUUAAUACCUAGGGAUAGUGGACGUUACUCGCAGAAUAAGCACCGGCUAACUCUGUGCCAGCCGCCGCGGUAA
Molecule: ribosomal RNA, 501 nt
Filed under: uncultured bacterium
Lineage: Bacteria
Description: partial 16S ribosomal RNA
Rfam family: Bacterial small subunit ribosomal RNA
Source: RNAcentral